Molecule: transfer RNA, 86 nt
Filed under: Deltaproteobacteria bacterium
Lineage: Bacteria; Pseudomonadati; Myxococcota; Myxococcia
Description: tRNA-Leu
Rfam family: tRNA
About the family: Transfer RNA (tRNA) molecules are approximately 80 nucleotides in length. Their secondary structure includes four short double-helical elements and three loops (D, anti-codon, and T loops).
Source: RNAcentral
GCCGGGGUGGUGAAAUGGUAGACACGGGGGUCUCAAAAGCCCCUUCCCGCAAGGGAGUGCCGGUUCGAGUCCGGCUCCCGGCACCA